RNAcentral lists this ribosomal RNA (495 nucleotides) under uncultured bacterium. RNAcentral describes it as "partial 16S ribosomal RNA". It matches the Rfam family "Bacterial small subunit ribosomal RNA", at positions 28 to 507 of the family's 1533-position model. The record is from RNAcentral.
GACGAACGCUGGCGGCGUGCCUAAUACAUGCAAGUAGAACGCUGAAGGAGGAGCUUGCUUCUCUGGAUGAGUUGCGAACGGGUGAGUAACGCGUAGGUAACCUGCCUGGUAGCGGGGGAUAACUAUUGGAAACGAUAGCUAAUACCGCAUAAUAGCAGUUGUUGCAUGACAACUGUUUGAAAGGUGCAAUUGCACCACUACCAGAUGGACCUGCGUUGUAUUAGCUAGUUGGGUGGGUAACGGCUCACCAAGGCGACGAUACAUAGCCGACCUGAGAGGGGGAUCGGCCACCCUGGGACUGAGACACGGCCCAGACUCCUACGGGAGGCAGCAGUAGGGAAUCUUUGGCCAUGGACGGAAGUCUGACCGAGCAAAGCCGCGUGAGUGAAGAAGGUUUUCGGAUCGUAAAGCUCUGUUGUAAGAGAAGAACGAGUGUGAGAGUGAAAAGUUCACACUGUGACGGUAUCUUACCAGAAAGGGACGGCUAACUACGUG